AUGGAAAAAAUUAAGAAAGUUAGGGAUUUCGAAUGUUACCGAUUGGAGAUGCUCCGAUGGCGUUCGACGGCGGAAGGAGAAUCUAAAAUCCCUUUCGACACGGCUGAAGGAUCCAUGUAUUUACUCUUCACUCUUACUCUUCUUCUUCAUCAAUUUUACUUGUUGUAUUUCCCUGCGUGUGUUGUUGCUAUGAAUCACGGAUUCAUGAUGUUGUUGUCGAGGUCGAGGUCGAGAUGCGGGGGUGAUGGAGAUUUGCAGAAGGUGAUGAUUGAGCGUGAGCGUUUGUUGAUUGUGAGUGAGUGA
Vicia faba (fava bean) is the source of this 303-nucleotide non-coding RNA. NCBI's taxonomy places the organism in Eukaryota, Viridiplantae, Streptophyta, Magnoliopsida, Fabales, Fabaceae. The record is from the annotation of a GenBank genome assembly.